Molecule: ribosomal RNA, 423 nt
Filed under: uncultured bacterium
Lineage: Bacteria
Description: bacterial SSU rRNA
Rfam family: Bacterial small subunit ribosomal RNA
Source: RNAcentral
GGAAUAUUGGACAAUGGGGGCAACCCUGAUCCAGCCAUGCCGCGUGCGUGAAGAAGGCCUUAGGGUUGUAAAGCUCUUUUGUCCGGAAAGAAAAGCACUGGGUUAAUACCCUGGUGUCCUGACGGUACCGGAAGAAUAAGCACCGGCUAACUUCGUGCCAGCAGCCGCGGUAAUACGAAGGGUGCAAGCGUUACUCGGAAUUACUGGGCGUAAAGCGUGCGUAGGUGGUUCGUUAAGUCUGAUGUGAAAGCCCUGGGCUCAACCUGGGAAUUGCAUUGGAUACUGGCGGGCUAGAGUGCGGUAGAGGGUAGUGGAAUUCCCGGUGUAGCAGUGAAAUGCGUAGAGAUCGGGAGGAACAUCUGUGGCGAAGGCGACUACCUGGACCAGCACUGACACUGAGGCACGAAAGCGUGGGGGAGCAAA